RNAcentral lists this ribosomal RNA (430 nucleotides) under uncultured Pseudomonas sp. RNAcentral describes it as "bacterial SSU rRNA". It matches the Rfam family "Bacterial small subunit ribosomal RNA", at positions 354 to 776 of the family's 1533-position model. Lineage: Bacteria; Pseudomonadati; Pseudomonadota; Gammaproteobacteria; Pseudomonadales; Pseudomonadaceae. The record is from RNAcentral.
GUGGGGAAUAUUGGACAAUGGGGGAAACCCUGAUCCAGCCAUGCCGCGUGUGUGAAGAAGGCUUUCGGGUCGUAAAGCACUUUAAGCUGGGAGGAAGGGCUUUUGGCUAAUAUCCAGGAGUUUUGACGUUACCAGCAGAAUAAGCACCGGCUAACUCUGUGCCAGCAGCCGCGGUAAUACAGAGGGUGCAAGCGUUAAUCGGAAUUACUGGGCGUAAAGCGCGCGUAGGUGGCUUGGUAAGUUGAAUGUGAAAUCCCCGGGCUCAACCUGGGAACUGCAUCCAAAACUGCCUGGCUAGAGUACGGUAGAGGGUAGUGGAAUUUCCGGUGUAGCGGUGGAAUGCGUAGAUAUCGGAAGGAACACCAGUGGCGAAGGCGACUACCUGGACUGAUACUGACACUGAGGUGCGAAAGCGUGGGGAGCAAACAGG